This is a small nuclear RNA of Nycticebus coucang (slow loris), 107 nucleotides long. Lineage: Eukaryota; Metazoa; Chordata; Mammalia; Primates; Lorisidae. The record is from RefSeq and is a predicted model, not a curated record.
GUGCUCUCUUCAGUAACACAUAUACUAAAAUUGGAAUGAGACAGAGAAGAUUAGCAUGGCCACCGCACAAGGAUGACAUGCAAAUUUGUGAAGCAUCAUGUAUUUUU